This 253-nucleotide ribosomal RNA is filed under the name uncultured bacterium. RNAcentral's name for it is "partial 16S ribosomal RNA". It matches the Rfam family "Bacterial small subunit ribosomal RNA", at positions 524 to 776 of the family's 1533-position model. The record is from RNAcentral.
CACGUAGGGCGCAAGCGUUGUCCGGAAUUAUUGGGCGUAAAGAGCUCGUAGGCGGUCUGUUGCGUCCGCUGUGAAAACUCGGGGCUUAACCCCGAGCCUGCAGUGGAUACGGGCAGACUAGAGGUAGGUAGGGGAGAAUGGAAUUCCUGGUGUAGCGGUGAAAUGCGCAGAUAUCAGGAGGAACACCGGUGGCGAAGGCGAGUCCCUGGACACUUCCUGACACUGAGGCACGAAAGCUAGGGGAGCAAACAGG